UACAGAGGGGGCAAGCGUUAUUCGGAAUUAUUGGGCGUAAAGGGCGCGUAGGCGGCCAUUCAAGUGACGGGUGAAAGCCCUCGGCUUAACCGAGGAACUGCCUGUCAGACUGGAUGGCUUGAGACCGGGAGAGGUGAGUGGAAUUCCCAGUGUAGCGGUGAAAUGCGUAGAUAUUAGGAAGAACACCGGUGGCGAAGGCGGCCCACUGGAUCGGUACUGACGCCGAGGUGCGAAAGCGUGGGGAGCAAACAGG
This 253-nucleotide ribosomal RNA is filed under the name uncultured bacterium. Its description in RNAcentral is "partial 16S ribosomal RNA". It matches the Rfam family "Bacterial small subunit ribosomal RNA", at positions 524 to 776 of the family's 1533-position model. The record is from RNAcentral.